RNAcentral lists this ribosomal RNA (495 nucleotides) under uncultured bacterium. Its description in RNAcentral is "partial 16S ribosomal RNA". It matches the Rfam family "Bacterial small subunit ribosomal RNA", at positions 28 to 507 of the family's 1533-position model. The record is from RNAcentral.
GACGAACGCUGGCGGCGUGCCUAAUACAUGCAAGUAGAACGCUGAAGGAGGAGCUUGCUUCUCCGGAUGAGUUGCGAACGGGUGAGUAACGCGUAGGUAGCCUGCCUGGUAGCGGGGGAUAACUAUUGGAAACGAUAGCUAAUACCGCAUAAGAGUAGAUGUUGCAUGACAUUUGCUUAAAAGGUGCAAUUGCAUCACUACCAGAUGGACCUGCGUUGUAUUAGCUAGUUGGUGAGGUAACGGCUCACCAAGGCGACGAUACAUAGCCGACCUGAGAGGGUGAUCGGCCACACUGGGACUGAGACACGGCCCAGACUCCUACGGGAGGCAGCAGUAGGGAAUCUUCGGCAAUGGACGGAAGUCUGACCGAGCAACGCCGCGUGAGUGAAGAAGGUUUUCGGAUCGUAAAGCUCUGUUGUAAGAGAAGAACGAGUGUGAGAGUGGAAAGUUCACACUGUGACGGUAUCUUACCAGAAAGGGACGGCUAACUACGUG